CGACCAUCAAUGUUUUGAUCGCAGUUUAUAAGGAAAUAAAUAAUGAAAGAGGAGAACGGGCCUGGAGAAACACCUCUUCCCUCUUCUUCUUCCUCCUAAACACUACAGCCCGAUCCCUUCGCCGUUAGGUUACCAAAAGGCUGACAUUUCAUGGAUGUAAAUGCAGAGCGACUGACUGAUUUACAGUUUACAGAGCUCUCUCCACCCUCAAUACCACGACUGAGGCACCGAACCCCCAACUGCUCCCAGGACACCGCAGCAUAAAUGAUGCCCACCCGGAUCCAGUACGUAUCCAGACCAGAUGGUGGAUCAGCACCUAGAAAGGACCUCUACUGCCCUGAAAGACAGCGGAGACCAGGACAACUAGAGCCCAGAUACAGAUCCCCUGUAAAGACCUUGUCUCAGAGGAGCACCAGGACAAGACCACAGGAAACAGAUGAUUCUUCUGCACAAUCUGACUUUGCUGCAGCCUGGAAUUGAACUACUGGUUUCGUCUGGUCAGAGGAGAACUGACCCCAACUGAGUCUGGUUUCUCCCAAGGUUUUUUUCUCCAUUCUGUCACCGAUGGAGUUUCGGUUUCUCUGGUUUGCUUAGUCAGGGCACUUAAUAUCCUGUGAUAUCGUUGAGUUGAUUGCACAGAUACUGUUUCACGAGUUCACACUUACAUAUAAUUAACUGAAGUAUUAUAAUGCGUAUUUGGCGUGCUGUCCGGGGAAGGGGCUCCGAGCUCGGGAAUGGCCCGAACCUAUAGUACCCCCCCCCCGUAUAUGAAAGUGUAACAUGAACUCUAGUGGAGGAGAUGGGGUGGAGGGGGGAUGCUGAUAAACCAUCAAUGGAGACAGGUAGGCUGAUUCAGCUGUAUUUAUACCCUAAGGUUGAUUAUCUUGAGUGGUUCCACCUGUGCUAAUUAGGUUAAGUAUCUGACGUGCUUCUCCCGAACCUUGUUAUGAAACUACAUUUAAACUGAACUGAGAUGGAUGCUGACAUCACUGAAUUCAAUUCAUCACUUUUUUGCAUCCCUGACACACUAUUUUCCUAUUUAAUGCUGUUAAGUUGUUUUGUCACAAUCUGUGUUGUUAAAAGCACUUCAUAAAUAUGAAUUGAUGACAGCUAUAACACACCCUCAACACUGCUCUUUUACCUCUGAAAUAUCAUAAACACUUUAAACACAUUACAGUCAGCAAUUCACUUUUGCCCAAUACCCAGAUAACACUUUCCACUGCUUUCAUCGCAUGUCGGUUUACGUUUCAAAUGUCCUAACCAGAGAAUGACCUGGUGAUUUGUAAAUGUGUCUUUCUUGCAUCGUCAGUUUCUGCUUUUUUUGGUUCAUAUAAACACUUCAGGAUUAGUUAUUGCCUGAUUCUCAACAAACUGUUGGUCCAAGUGCAUGUGUGCAUGUGCAGAGUAAAGAGAGCACACAAUUCUGUGAAUAAUUAGACUUUCAGUAGGCUAAAUAAAAAUAAAUAUAAUAAAAUAAGUCAUAAUUGCUUAUUUUAGAUCAAACUAGAUCACAUAGAGAUUGAACUGCUCGGGUUUACAAAAGCAACAAAAAGAAUGUAAAGAGCAAAUCAGUUACGGUCUUUAGGAUUGUAAAGAUGCAGAACAGCCACCAAAGAAACAUCAUAAUCAAGAGAAUAUUUUCACUCAAAUCCCAUAUUAAGGUUCGAUCAUGUCUGAAUGUUGGAGCUUUAGUGAUCCUCAUCCAACCCUUGACAGACCACGCUCUUAAAGCGGUGCAAGAAUAAUGAUUUUAAAUGUUUAAAAGAGACAUUAACUGGCCAUUACUGGUCACCCGAUUCCUUAAUGAGUAAAAACAAAUGAAUGUUAAGCCAAAAAAGUGUUAGUUAACAAUGUGUUACUUUGAAUUUCUUUGACAGACUGCAGUUUAACAAUCACCCUUUACAGUGAAUUACUGCUUUAGUUGUUGCCAUUUGAGAAUUUUCAAUAAUAAUUGUCUUAUUUAACAUGACAUCCAUCAGUACCAGUGUACAGCAGGACAGUCUCUCUGACUUCAGAUCAGUGGUGUCCAGGGAUGGAUCUGCUGGUCACAGUGUUGUUCUCCUGCAGGGGGCAGAAGCGUCCACUUCAUCAGCACCUUCUGAUCACAUCCUACACUUUUACACAAGCCGUUCUUUUCAUCAUUCUUCACAGGAUCCUCUGGAGCUAAUAACUAACUGCUCACAGACUUCUUAGGUUCAGAGUUUAUUUCAGUCAUUUCAUAGAAACAGCAACUUUGAUUUAAUGAUUCAAACAUAGUGCAUCAAAAUGUAUUUUCUGUUAACUUUAUUUUAAGGUGUCAUUGUUUGGGGUAUACUCAAAGAAUGUUAUAUACUAGUUACUCCUUUCAAAAGCAAUAUUGUUACUUAUUACUUUCUGGUAACAGUAACUAGUUACACUACUAGUUACAUUACCUUGUCUUCACACCCCACAUUUACAUUUACAUUUAAUCAUUUAGCAGACACUUUUAUCCAAAGCGACUCACAAAUGAGAACAACAGAAGCAGUCAGGUCAACAAGAGAACAACAACAGUAUAGAAGGUUUUUUUUUUUUUUUUUUUAUAAAUGAAGACAAGAAAAGAAGGAAAAGUGCUAGUAUUAGUUGGGUAAGUGCUGUCGAAAAAGAUGAGUCUUUAGAUGUUUCUUGAAAAUGAGUAAAGACUCCGCUGUAUGAACUGAGAUUGGGAGGUCAUUCCUCCAGCUGGACACAGUCCAGGAGAAGUUGUAACUGUGUAUCUUCCACAUAAAAUUCACCCAGAAUGCUACUAACAACAUAUUUCUGCCUCAUCAUUUGACCAAAAUCCACACUGGAUCAGUCAGGAGUGAUGACAAACACUCAAAAGUGACUGAAAGUGACAUUUAAGUAGAAGUGUUGUAUAAAUCUCACUAACUGUAAUGUGUAGCUUGAAGCUAAUUGUAAUUUCUCUGAUACCCAUAUACAAUUAUAUUUCAUUUUAUAUUUUAUCAGAUCACACAAGUUUGUAAGAAACUGUUUAAUUUUCCCCAAAAGAUUUUUAAUUAUAAUAAUAUAAUGUGGACUGUGGGUGGGAUGUGAAGCCAGAGUAAAGUAAAGCCCCAACUUACACAACAGUUUUCUCAUUUCCAUUUCCUGUCAAGAGCACUAUAAUGCAAUAUUUAUAUCUGCUGUAUGUAAGCUUUCCAUAUUCCACGCUUGUCUGCUGCACUGGGGACAUCACAUGCCUGUGCGAAAAUUAUGAAAAUAAACCUAGAAAUUAUUUGA
Carassius gibelio (silver crucian carp) is the source of this 3237-nucleotide long non-coding RNA. RefSeq lists it as uncharacterized. The transcript is spliced from 2 exons. NCBI's taxonomy places the organism in Eukaryota, Metazoa, Chordata, Actinopteri, Cypriniformes, Cyprinidae. The record is from RefSeq and is a predicted model, not a curated record.